RNAcentral lists this ribosomal RNA (494 nucleotides) under uncultured bacterium. RNAcentral's name for it is "bacterial SSU rRNA". It matches the Rfam family "Bacterial small subunit ribosomal RNA", at positions 30 to 507 of the family's 1533-position model. The record is from RNAcentral.
AUGAACGCUAGCGGCAGGCUUAAUACAUGCAAGUUGAGGGGCAGCAUGAUAUACGCGAGUAUAUUGAUGGCGACCGGCGGACGGGUGAGUAAUAGGUAGGAGACCUACCUCAUACAGGGGGAUAGCAUAGAGAAAUCUGUGGUAAUACCCCAUGAGGCUAUAUGAAUAGAGGCAUAUAAUCAAAGCAUAAGCGAUUAUGCGGUAUGAGAGGGGCCUACUGACCAUUAGCUAGUUGGUGAGGUAAGGGCUCACCAAGGCGAAGAUGGUUAGGGGUUUUGAGAGAGAGACCCCCCACAUUGGAACUGAGAGACGGUCCAGACUCCUACGGGAGGCAGCAGUAGGGAAUAUUGGGCAAUGGGCGAAAGCCUGACCCAGCCAUGCCGCGUGAAGGAAGACGGCCUUAUGGGUUGUAAACUUCUUUACUACGCGAAUAGAGGUUAGUACGAGAUACUAAUAGGAAGGUAGUGUAGUAAAAAGCACCGGCUAACUCCGUG